AUAGGCGUGGCAGAAACUGCAUUGGACUUAAGACCCAAAGACGAAUUAUAUUUCCACCUAUA
This 62-nucleotide transfer RNA is filed under the name Timarete posteria. RNAcentral describes it as "tRNA-Leu". It matches the Rfam family "tRNA". Rfam says of the family: Transfer RNA (tRNA) molecules are approximately 80 nucleotides in length. Their secondary structure includes four short double-helical elements and three loops (D, anti-codon, and T loops). Lineage: Eukaryota; Metazoa; Annelida; Polychaeta; Terebellida; Cirratulidae. The record is from RNAcentral.